Molecule: long non-coding RNA, 1340 nt
Organism: Oncorhynchus keta (chum salmon)
Lineage: Eukaryota; Metazoa; Chordata; Actinopteri; Salmoniformes; Salmonidae
Exons: 4
Source: RefSeq, a predicted model, not a curated record
UUAUAAUGUUAGGGAGCAGCUUAUUGAUGUCCUGAUACAGGUUUAUAAUGUUAGGGAGCAGGUUAUUGAUGUCCUGAUGCAGGUUUAUAAUGUUAGGGAGCAGAUUAUUGAUGUUCUGAUACAGGUUUAUAAUGUUAGGGAGCAGAUUAUUGAUGUCCUGAUGCUGGUUUAUAAUGUUAGGGAGCAGAUUAUUGAUGUCCUGAUGCAGGUUUAUAAUGUUAGGGAGCAGUUUAUUGAUGUCCUGAUGCAGAUUAUUGAUGUCCUGAUGCAGGUUUAUUGAUGUCCUGAUGCAGGUUUAUAAUGUUAGGGAGCAGAUUAUUGAUGUCCUGAUGCUGGUUUAUAAUGUUAGGGAGCAGCUUAUUGAUGUCCUGAUGCAGAUUAUUGAUGUCCUGAUGCAGGUUUAUAAUGUUAGGGAGCAGAUUAUUGAUGUCCUGAUGCUGGUUUAUAAUGUUAGGGAGCAGCUUAUUGAUGUCCUGAUGCAGGUUUAUAAUGUUAGGGAGCAGAUUAUUGAUGUCCUGAUGCAGGUUUAUAAUGUUAGGGAGCAGAUUAUUGAUGUCCUGAUGCAGGUUUAUUGAUGUCCUGAUGCUGGUUUAUAAUGUUAGGGAGCAGCUUAUUGAUGUCCUGAUACAGGUUUAUAAUGUUAGGGAGCAGUUUAUUGAUGUCCUGAUGCAGGUUUAUAAUGUUAGGGAGCAGUUUAUUGAUGUCCUGAUACAGGUUUAUAAUGUUAGGGAGCAGUUUAUUGAUGUCCUGAUACAGGUUUAUAAUGUUAGGGAGCAGCUUAUUGAUGUCCUGAUGCAGGUUUAUAAUGUUAGGGAGCAGCUUAUUGAUGUCCUGAUGCAGGUUUAUAAUGUUAGGGAGCAGAUUAUUGAUGUCCUGAUGCUGGUUUAUAAUGUUAGGGAGCAGAUUAUUGAUGUCCUGAUGCAGGUUUAUAAUGUUAGGGAGCAGGUUAUUGAUGUCCUGAUGCAGGUUUAUAAUGUUAGGGAGCAGAUUAUUGAUGUCCUGAUGCAGGUUUAUAAUGUUAGGGAGCAGAUUAUUGAUGUCCUGAUGCAGGUUUAUAAUGUUAGGGAGCAGGUUAUUGAUGUCCUGAUGCAGGUUUAUAAUGUUAGGGAGCAGUUUAUUGAUGUCCUGAUACAGGUUUAUAAUGUUAGGGAGCAGAUUAUUGAUGUCCUGAUGCAGGUUUAUAAUGUUAGGGAGCAGUUUAUUGAUGUCCUGAUGCAGGUUUAUAAUGUUAGGGAGCAGCUUAUUGAUGUCCUGAUGCUGGUUUAUAAUGUUAGGGAGCAGAUUAUUGAUGUCCUGAUGCAGGUUUAUAAUGUUAGGGAGCAGGUUAUUGAUGUCCUGAU